RNAcentral lists this ribosomal RNA (647 nucleotides) under uncultured bacterium. RNAcentral describes it as "bacterial SSU rRNA". It matches the Rfam family "Bacterial small subunit ribosomal RNA", at positions 28 to 674 of the family's 1533-position model. The record is from RNAcentral.
GAUGAACGCUAGCGGCAGGCCUAAUACAUGCAAGUCGAACGAUAGUUGGGGCUUGCCUCAACGAAAAGUGGCGCACGGGUGCGUAACGCGUAUGCAACCUACCUUAUUCAGGGGGAUAGCCCGAAGAAAUUCGGAUUAACACCGCAUAAAAUCACAGCUCAGCAUUGAGUAAUGAUCAAAUAUUUAUAGGAAUAAGAUGGGCAUGCGUGUCAUUAGCUAGUUGGCGGGGUAACGGCCCACCAAGGCGACGAUGACUAGGGGAUCUGAGAGGAUGACCCCCCACACUGGUACUGAGACACGGACCAGACUCCUACGGGAGGCAGCAGUAAGGAAUAUUGGUCAAUGGAGGCAACUCUGAACCAGCCAUGCCGCGUGCAGGAAGACAGCCCUCUGGUCGUAAACUGCUUUUAUUCGGGAAUAAACCUUUCUACGUGUAGAGAGCUGAAUGUACCGAAGGAAUAAGGAUCGGCUAACUCCGUGCCAGCAGCCGCGGUAAUACGGAGGAUCCAAGCGUUAUCCGGAUUUAUUGGGUUUAAAGGGUGCGUAGGCGGCUUAUUAAGUCAGGGGUGAAAGACGGUGGCUCAACCAUCGCAGUGCCUUUGAUACUGAUGAGCUUGAAUGAACUAGAGGUAGGCGGAAUGUGACAA